Molecule: ribosomal RNA, 479 nt
Filed under: uncultured bacterium
Lineage: Bacteria
Description: bacterial SSU rRNA
Rfam family: Bacterial small subunit ribosomal RNA
Source: RNAcentral
GAGUGAACGCUAGCGGCAGGCUUAAUACAUGCAAGGUCGAGGGGCAUCAAGGUACACGAAAGUGUAUUGUUGGCGACCGGCGGACGGGUGAGUAAUAGGUAGGUAACCUACCUCAUACUGAGGCAUAGCUGGGAGAAAUUCCAGGUAAUUCCUCAUGAGGUUAUAUGACACAUGUGAUAUAAUCAAAGGUAUCGCAAGGUACUGGUAUGAGAUGGGCUUACUGACCAUUAGCUAGUUGGUGAGAUAAGAGCUCACCAAGGCGAAGAUGGUUAGGGGUUUUGAGAGAGAGAUCCCCCACAUUGGAACUGAGAUACGGUCCAGACUCCUACGGGAGGCAGCAGUAGGGAAUAUUGGGCAAUGGGCGGAAGCCUGACCCAGCCAUGCCGCGUGAGGGAAGAAGGCCUUCGGGUUGUAAACCUCUGUCAUGGGGGAAGAAGUAAGUGACGGUACCCCAAGAGGAAGCCCCUGCUAACUACGUG